CGUGGCGGCAGUCACUGCCGUCACUUAGUCGCUGAUCAAGCUUUGGACUAAGGGCCCACGGUCACUCGAGUAGGACUUGGAUCGGAUGCUGAAUAAAACUCACCGUGAAGCAAGUCCCACUGAACGAAAAGUUGGUCGUAGCAUUUCUCAGCAGCUGCUUCCGGCUCCCUGAGACCCAGCCAUGGAAGGCACAGAAAGGCAUGUGACAAGAAACUCAUGGCUUUUAAUCCUGGCAGGACAAGGAAAACCCCGUCAAAGAUUUGCAUAAAUUUUGCUGCUCUCCUGCUGGGG
Molecule: non-coding RNA, 291 nt
Filed under: Pongo abelii (Sumatran orangutan)
Lineage: Eukaryota; Metazoa; Chordata; Mammalia; Primates; Hominidae
Source: RNAcentral